UAGAGUUUGAUCCUGGCUCACGAUGAACGCUAGCGGGAGGCCUAAUACAUGCAAGUCGAGCGGUAGAACUAGCUUCGGUUGGUUUGAGAGCGGCGCACGGGUGAGUAACGCGUACGUAACCUGCCCUUCAGUGGGGAAUAGCCCCGGGAAACUGGGAUUAAUGCCCCCUGGUACUUUCGAUCUGCCUGGAUUGAAAGUUAAAGCUUCGGCGCUGAAGGAUGGACGUGCGUCGGAUUAGCUGGUUGGUGAGGUAACCGCUCACCAAGGCGACGAUCAGUAGGGGGCGUGAGAGCGUGACCCCCCACACGGGUACUGAGACACGGACCCGACUCCUACGGGAGGCAGCAGUAAGGAAUAUUGGGCAAUGGAGGCAACUCUGACCCAGCCAUCCCGCGUGCAGGAAGACGGCCCUACGGGUUGUAAACUGCUUUUAUGAAGGAAGAAAGGUUGGCAUUUAUGCUGAUUUGACGGUACUUCACGAAUAAACACCGGCUAACUCCGUGUCAGCAGCCGCGGGAAUACGGAGGGUGCGAGCGUUAUCCGGAAUCACUGGGUUUAAAGGGUGCGUAGGCGGCCUGAUGAGUCAGAGGUGAAAGUCUGCGGCUUAACCGUAGAAUUGCCUUUGAUACUGUUGGGCUUGAGUCAGGUUGAGGUUGGCGGAGUGUGACCUGUAGCGGUGAAAUGCAUAUAUAUGUCAUAGAACACCGAUUGCGAAAGCACCUGACUGGACCUGAACUGACGCUGAGGCACCAAAGCGUGGGGAGCCAACAGGAUUAUAUACCCUGGUAG
This 789-nucleotide ribosomal RNA is filed under the name uncultured organism. Its description in RNAcentral is "bacterial SSU rRNA". It matches the Rfam family "Bacterial small subunit ribosomal RNA", at positions 1 to 793 of the family's 1533-position model. The record is from RNAcentral.